Macaca mulatta (Rhesus monkey) is the source of this 4058-nucleotide non-coding RNA. The record is from RefSeq and is a predicted model, not a curated record. Lineage: Eukaryota; Metazoa; Chordata; Mammalia; Primates; Cercopithecidae.
AGCCAUUUCUCAGAAAAAUUGUUUAUUUUUCUUCUCCAACCUGGGGCUGGCCUUCCCCUACCUUGCGUCCUUUCUUUGUUGUUACUUAUUAGGACUCCACAUGCUCCAGAUAAAAAAAGUUAUGUCUCCCUAGAACCAGCUACAUAAUUUGUGAAGUCCAAUGCAAAAUGAAUAUGCUAGUCUCUUGCUAAAAAGUUAUUAAGAAUUUCAAGGUGGUGACAGAAGAGCAUAAAUCUGGGAUCAGUGUGGGUAAGUGGGCACAAGACCGUUUGUGAUGCACAGGUCCCAUGACUAUGAAGCCCACCCUGUCUGUUCUGCCUCACUUAAGGCACUACAUAUGGCAAAUACCAGAUAACUAAAUUGAAAAAUCCCUAUCUUGUUCACCUUUAUAGUCCAGGAGAGCUGGUCAAAUCUCCUAUUCAUAAUGGGAGAUUGAUGAAUACUUGCAAAUGACUUGCUUCAUACUGAGGCUGUGCCAUUUGCCUGAGAAUGAACUUAGCCUCUUCAUUACUGGGUCCAUGACCAUCUCCCCUCUCCCCUCCUCACACACAUCCUCUAUCCAUAGCUGGUACUACUCCUGUCUUCACUUCUCCUACUCUUACCCUCAAGCCUUGCCAAUCACUGCCCUCUUCCUCUUCCUUCUCCUUGUUCUCCUUUAGUGGUGCUUUCUUCUAUGCUCCUGUAGGAAACUGGCUGAGUCCUAGGGUACAUGCAGCUCUGCUGUAUCCUAGUGUGGCUGAAUGCACUCACUUAGUGCUUAUACUUAGUGAUGGGAGAUGUUAGGGGCCUGAAGGUAGUUUUCCAGUCAUUUGCCUGAAGAUUGUAUUCUCAGCUCUGAGACAGAAGGAGCCCAGCUGCAAAGAAGCUAGGCCACUGUGACUGGGUCUUCCCCUCUCUGGGAUAUCACAAAGUCCACAUGAGGUCAGUGAACCAAUCUACAAGAGAAGGGCUGAGCAGGGGACCUGGGAUGAUUUCCUCCAAUAUUUAGUCAGACUGAUUUUCUGGAUCCAAGCUUCUCAACUUACUACAUGUGGACAAAUCAUUAUAUUUCUCCCAGCCUUAAAAAUCUUCAGUAAGUUAAAGAGAGAAGGACUCAGGCUUAAUGGCAAUCCUAUUAUUUUACUAAUGAGGAGACGAAACACCUAGUUGGAGAUCACCUCCUUACUGGCUCAGAGCUUCAGGAAAUCGCUCAAGGGUAUGCAAAUACUGAACAGCAGAACUGGGAUUUAGAUCCACAUCUACUUAAUUUUAGUGCAUGUGCUCUAACUGCUGCCACAGAAGGGAUGCAGAGGAAGAUGGUCAGUUACCCAGAGGGUGAUAUCUUUGACUUAAUGUUCACCAUAAAGACAGCUAUCAACAGAAGACUUGAAGUCUAACUUGUUAUCUAUUGUAGGAAAGUGCCUGCAACAUGGUGAUUCCUGCAGAGCAUCUGACAAUCGGAGAAGAGUUAGAAUACAUUAAGCUCAGCAUCACAUAUGUGGUUUAAAUACAACUCUACCUCCUUCUCUUUCUUUCUCUUCUUUUCUGCCUUUGUUGCCCUACCCAGGAUUAAAACCUUAGGUCUUAUGUUAAAAGAAUGACAAGAGAACUGUAGCAUUCUCUGCCUCUUGGGCGUCUGCAAGAGGUGGGAUAUUAGAGGGACACUGGGGGAUGCUUGGAUGAUCACCUCCACCCCUCCACCCCCUACGACCUCAACAUGAAGUUGGCCCUCUUGAAGUGGGUGAAUCACUACAGCCCUUGUUCAGGAAGUGUGUUUGAAACCAGGCUUUUAAGGAAGAGAGGUGAUGACAUUUCUUGGGACCUUCUUGCCAACCUGACCCUUCUGGUUGGCACCACCCAGAGCUACAUUGCUUAGGCUUGAAGCCCAGGUGUGUUGUUGGGCUCUUCCCCCUUUAUGAGGCCCAUGUUUCUAUGAUGCCAGGUGGCAGCCCUUCAUCAGCCUUUGGGCUACAUCACUGUGGAGGUGGCUGGAGUCUCUUUUUUCAUGCAAACUGCUGCCCAGUGAAACUUCAUAAAGCAAGGCUAAUCAUGUUACUCUUCAGUUCAAUCUGAGAAACUCUUUAUUGUUUACAAGAUGUAGACAUUUUGACUAAAGCAUUUCAAUUUCCAUAUCCCCAUCUCCAACCCCAACCUGGCUUUUUAGCCAUGUCCUUUAUUAUUUCCUUCAGGGAACCUCUGUUAUAACCAAACUGGGUUAUUUAAAAAGUAGAAAAAGUACAGGUGUUCAUAGGAAAUUCAGUGAUUUGUACUAUUUUUUUCAUCUUCACCUAUUCAACUUCCAUAUGUGCUUCAAGACUCAAAACAAAGGCCCUAUACUCUAUGGUUACUUCUUUGUUUAGUUACAUUUUAUAUCUACCAAUAGAAGAUGCCUUCUCCGGCCAGAUAUAAGCUUCUUGAAGUUCAAGCUAUAUUUCUGUGGGGCUCUAGGGGAUAGGGCAGGGGUAGUAGAUUUAGAAAAUGAACUGGAAUAGAGCUUUAAAUUCCACAUUUUGGGGACUUAGAGUAGAACUUGGGGGAGGGGCAGGGGAAGAUUACAAAGGGAGCACAGUAGAACGUACUUAUUAUCUUGAUUUGUAGUAAUGGUUUAUGGGUGUAUACCUAUGUCAAAACUUAUCAAAUUGUACACUUAAAAUAUGUGCAGUUAAUUGUAUAUCAAUUAUACUUCAAUACAUUCAUUUAAAAAGUGUACAUUAUUCAAAUCCUCCCUCAGGAGCUCUUUCUAGAAGUAAGGCAAUGAAACCAGGAAUAUAUGCCUAAAUGUGUCAGCAGACAAAGGCUUUAAAAAUGCUAGACUUGUAUUUGAAAGGCAUAGAGAAUUUUGCUUGGUUUCUGUAAUUCAUGGGGGUUCCAAUGGGCUAUCCUGAUAGGAAGCCAGCUGAUUUAAGGAAUCCCAAUAGGCAUUUUCUUAAUUUUAUCCAACAUUUCAGUACUGCCCCAACCACUCAACCAAGCUUUCAUGUUGACUUUCAGCCAUUGUGACAAGGCACCAUCAAUCAUGGACCCUUUACCAGGAGGGUCCAUGUCAUAAGCCACUAUAUAAAGGAAAUGAUGGGUGGACUGCUUUGGACAAAUGGAUUUAGGGUAGGAGAGAGGGACAACAGUAGGAGCAGGUGGAUAUUGCUGUUUCAACCAAAACCUCGUACUGACCAGAGCUGAGGAACAGAAGAUGGUGAAGGCCUGCAGAUGUAGGUAUUCAGCAUGUCAUCUGAAAUAUUCCCCACAGAGGCAAAAAGCAAGGAAAUUAUCUCUGAAAAGGAAUGAGAAGACAAGUCAGCAGAAUAUGUCAAUGUUUUGGUUGAAGAAGCUGCUUGAAUCUGGGCUUUUCUGGGCCAUGUGUUCUCCCACAACCAGCACUAAGAAAGGCUUUUGGUACAGGCCCAAGACCACCAUAAUCAUCAUUGAUUAUUCCUCUCCACCCCAGUGUCUCUAAAUAAAAUUUCUCUUCUUUCUCUGACAAAGGUGUGUUUGAGUGUUACUGUUCAGCUGAAGAGUGACGUUGGGUGACCUUAGAACCCUAGCCCUUCAUGUAAUCAGAUGGGUGUGAUAAGUAGAGGGAGAACCACAUGAGUCAGGAGGAAAUAUGUAGUUUACCCUUUUUUUCCUGUUUGAAAGAUUUACUAUGAUGUUUGUGGUUGGGCUUUGGUUUGGGAUAAAUUGAGGUGCUUUCUGGAUAUGAUAAGGGCUUAUUUGGUUUGAUAGACCAUCUAAACAAGUCCAGUGCAGGCUAAGACAGGUGAACCACCAGAUCACCACAGUUCACACUUCUCAUUCAUUUGUUAGCAGAAAUGAAGAUGCUUGUUUUCCUAGAAACAAGCCCAGGUCAUCCAUCAUGAAGUCCCGGAAUUGUAAAUGUGAGGAAGUGCAAAGACACAACAUACGCUUACAAAGGCAUAUGUACAUUUGGAACUCUUUAAAGGACAACAUCCUCGAGCUUCUCCUGGGCCUCAGCCAAAACGGAGACAGAAAAUGCAUCAUGCUAACAUUGUUGUAUGUAUGUGUAUGACUACAUAAUAUUCUAUCAUUUUGUUUUAUACAAUCUAUGAACCAACAUCUUAUAU